RNAcentral lists this ribosomal RNA (425 nucleotides) under uncultured bacterium. RNAcentral's name for it is "bacterial SSU rRNA". It matches the Rfam family "Bacterial small subunit ribosomal RNA", at positions 355 to 771 of the family's 1533-position model. The record is from RNAcentral.
UGGGGCAUUUUGCGCAAUGGGCGAAAGCCUGACGCAGCAACGCCGCGUGAGUGAUGAAGGCCUUCGGGUCGUAAAGCUCUGUCAGAGGGGAAGAACCACCUGUCGGUUAAUAUCCGGCAGGCCUGACGGUACCCUCAAAGGAAGCACCGGCUAACUCCGUUCCCGCAGCCGCGGUAAUACGGAGGGUGCAAGCGUUGUUCGGAAUUAUUGGGCGUAAAGGGCGCGCAGGCGGCUGCUUAAGUCCGAUGUGAAAGCCCCGGGCUCAACCCGGGAAGUGCAUUGGAAACUGGGCAGCUUGAGUACGGGAGAGGGAAGUGGAAUUCCGCAUGUAGGGGUGAAAUCCGUAGAUAUGCGGAGGAACACCGGUGGCGAAGGCGGCUUCCUGGACCGAUACUGACGCUGAGGCGCGAAAGCGUGGGGAGCAA